UCCGGCUUAUCACCGGCAGUCCCUCUAGAGUGCCCAACUUAAUGCUGGCAACUAAAGGCAAGGGUUGCGCUCGUUGCGGGACUUAACCCAACAUCUCACGACACGAGCUGACGACAGCCAUGCAGCACCUGUGUUCGGUCCAGCCGAACUGAAGAGAUCCAUCUCUGGUUCUCGCGACCGACAUGUCAAGCCCAGGUAAGGUUCCUCGCGUAUCAUCGAAUUAAACCACAUGCUCCUCCGCUUGUGCGGGCCCCCGUCAAUUCCUUUGAGUUUCAGUCUUGCGACCGUACUCCCCAGGCGGAGUGCUUAAUGCGUUAGCUGCAGCACUAAGGGGCGGAAACCCCCUAACACUUAGCACUCAUCGUUUACGGCGUGGACUAC
This 381-nucleotide unclassified non-coding RNA is filed under the name uncultured bacterium. RNAcentral's name for it is "contains 16S-23S intergenic spacer region". The record is from RNAcentral.